This 253-nucleotide ribosomal RNA is filed under the name uncultured bacterium. Its description in RNAcentral is "partial 16S ribosomal RNA". It matches the Rfam family "Bacterial small subunit ribosomal RNA", at positions 524 to 776 of the family's 1533-position model. The record is from RNAcentral.
UACGUAGGGGGCAAGCGUUAUCCGGAUUUACUGGGUGUAAAGGGAGCGUAGACGGCAAUGCAAGUCUGGAGUGAAAGGCGGGGGCCCAACCCCCGGACUGCUCUGGAAACUGUAUAGCUGGAGUGCAGGAGAGGUAAGUGGAAUUCCUAGUGUAGCGGUGAAAUGCGUAGAUAUUAGGAGGAACACCAGUGGCGAAGGCGGCUUACUGGACUGUAACUGACGUUGAGGCUCGAAAGCGUGGGGAGCAACCAGG